GGUUAAAAUUUUCAUCCAUUUCUUAAAAACUAUCAUGGUUGAUGGGAUGACUAGAUAGUUACACUUGGUGUGCCAUGUGUACCUCAUAUUAAUGUACAAUGAUAAGUUUUAAUCGUAGAAAUGGAUGAAACCUUUAACA
Gossypium raimondii (Peruvian cotton) is the source of this 139-nucleotide non-coding RNA. Lineage: Eukaryota; Viridiplantae; Streptophyta; Magnoliopsida; Malvales; Malvaceae. The record is from Rfam.